RNAcentral lists this long non-coding RNA (1759 nucleotides) under Homo sapiens (human). RNAcentral's name for it is "HSALNT0027725". Lineage: Eukaryota; Metazoa; Chordata; Mammalia; Primates; Hominidae. The record is from RNAcentral.
GGAGUUUUGUCUGUGGCUCGUCCUGCUACAUUUCUUGGUUCCCUGACUGGGAAGUGAGGUGAUUGGUGGAUGGUUGAGGCAGCUCCUUAGGCGGCUUAAGCCUGCCCUGUGGAACAUGCCUGCUGGGGACUCCGACCAGCCUGAGAGACGCAGAUCCUGAGAGCGCUCCCGGGUACGCAUUUGCCCCGGUUGGACGCCUCGCCAGAGCAGUGUGUGGCAGGCUACCGUGGAGGAUCAACACAGUGGCUGAACACCAUGAAGGAGCAGGCACUUGGAGUCUGGACAUCUAAAACUUGGUGCGGUGUUUCUGCCUGAAAGCAGUGCUUGAUACCAGCACGAACUCUGCAUCUUCAGAAGUCCCACUGGGUGUUCUGGUGGCCUUUUUCUAAAGAGACAUUUGGAUUAAACUUUUAUUAUAUCUGAUGACCUCCAUGUAUUGAGAAAAUAAACAGGAGAGGAAGAAAAGUGUGGAGGAUGACAGAAGUCAGAGGACAGUCAUGGGCAUGAGAAGCCAAACGAUGGCACACAACUAUCUCACCUGAAUGGAGUCAAGUUCUGGCCCAGGAGGAAGCUGCGUUGUCCCAGAUGAAAAAUUAAUUUGUUUUCCUGCAUGCCUCUGAGGGCUUUCUCUACAGAAGUCUGCCUCUUGGAAAAUCUUUCUUCCUUUCUCCUUCAUUUUAUUACUGUGUUCUAUAGCUGUGGUCCUACCUAAUCAGGUCACCCAAUGCCUAAAGCACAGAAAGUUUAUAAUGCUGAAAAGGGAGCAAAUUAUCUCAUCUCAUUUGUUAUCCCAGAGACUAAUUAGUAUGCAAAAUGACCAUUUUCCCUGGACUCUACUUUUUUCAUUAUCUAUGGAAUGACAGAGACACCUCAAGGAAGAUAACUCAGUUCGACCACCUGCUUUAUCCUUUGGAUAUCUGUGGAUAAGACAUGUCAGCAAUGCACAUUCUCCCAAAGUUAUUUGAGCUCUCUUGCAGGCCAUUUAUAGAGCAGGUCAUUCACAUAAGCAACAGCAGUGAAAAGACUGGUGAAAUCAAGAAAAGCUUCUAUAGCUUGGCAUAGAAAUUAAAACAAACAAAUAGACAAACAAACAAAAGCCUCCUUUAGCACUGGUUAGAAUAGCCAUGGAUUUGAAGUCUUGUUGAUGCAGAGGGUACACAAGGCACAGGAUUACGGCUGAACAAAAGCAUUCAAAAUAUGUUUUAAAGAAAUCCAUAUUUCUAGAUUCUCUUGAAAAAUAACGAUCCCAUAUUCCAACAGGACACCAUUUCACUUGAACUUGGACCUGACAUUGGAUGUCUCUUUAGAUUCGUCAUGAUAUCCCCAGUUUUUUGCAGUCCCUACUAUACAUAAAAUAUAAUCAUAACUAUUUAAACUUUGCUUGCUUCUCUCAGUUAUGUUAAGUAUUAAUUCUUGUGCCUGUUGAAAUUUGCUAAUUCUUCCUUCAGGAAAAUGCCAAAAGCAGAUUAAAGCAUUAGUGUGAAAAUGUUAAGAGCUGUGUUUUAAUGGAUUUUGAAUGAGACACAUAAUCUAACUUUUUUAUUUCUUUCAUUUGUAAAAACAACUCUGUGGGUUAGUCAUUGUAUGAGGCAAUAGAAAUUUAUUCUAUUUAAUUUCCAUACGAACAGUUCAAGCUUUCUGUUAUCCACAUUUUCUGAUGGAAAAAUUAGAUGUGAGAAAAGUAAAAAAAAAAAAUCCAAGGUUAUAGAAUAAUUAGAGUUCAAACACAGAUCAUUCUUGCUCCUGUGACUUAUUCAGA